AGUGGCAGACGGGUGAGUAACACGUGGGUGACCUACCUUUUCGUUGGGGAUAACAGUUGGAAACGAUUGCUAAUACCGAAUAAAAUGUAAGAGUCAAUUUUACAUUGAAAGGAGCCUUUAAAGCUUCGCGAUUAGAUGGGCCUGCGGCGUAUUAACUAGUUGGUGAGGUAAUGGCUUACCAAGGUGACGAUGCGUAGCCGAACUGAGAGGUUGAUCGGCCACAUUGGGACUGAGACACGGCCCAAACUCC
RNAcentral lists this ribosomal RNA (250 nucleotides) under uncultured bacterium. RNAcentral's name for it is "partial 16S ribosomal RNA". It matches the Rfam family "Bacterial small subunit ribosomal RNA", at positions 94 to 339 of the family's 1533-position model. The record is from RNAcentral.